This 20-nucleotide unclassified non-coding RNA is filed under the name Mus musculus (house mouse). Its description in RNAcentral is "oocyte_clustered_small_RNA5338". The record is from RNAcentral. Lineage: Eukaryota; Metazoa; Chordata; Mammalia; Rodentia; Muridae.
UAUCUUCAAGUCUCCUAGUU